GGAUCACUACCUACAUGGUUACUCAGGGGUGGCUUUGCUUGGUUAAUCCGUUAUGGGGGCCACUCCUGUUUGGUUACUUAUGUAGGCUUCAGCUAAACUGCGUCCCUCUAGCCCUAGUUUUUAAUGUACAUAUGAACGAUGGUUUUUGGGAAUCUUGUGGUUUAAAUUAGAAAAGUCGUUGGAUGUCUGGGUGACUCCUUCAGAGUUUUUAGCGACAUGAUUAUGAUUUCAUAAAGCAUGAUUCUAUAUUUGAUGUUUAUAGAUUGUGAUCGAUGGCCUGUUUUUAUUGGAUAUCACAUACUUGUAUUAUUGUCACUCACCCGAGCUUCACAGCUUAUACGAGUGUCUGAUUUGCCCAGUGUGUCAUCUUCUUGAUGUAGGCAUGAUUGUACAUAUGACAGGUUUGGGGUGAUUACGAGAAGCAGCUUGGUAUUUUAGUUACAUUGAGUGGUCCGGAACCCAAGAUUGUUGGAUUCCGUUGAGUGGUACGAAAUCCUUGCUCUUGCUCAUUUCCAUAAGGUUAGUCUAGAACCCUAGAUUCGAAUGAAUGGGAAUUAUCCCUAAUCGGUGUUAUGAAUAUAAAUUACAAUUACCAUGAUUAUUACUCAUAAUCCAAGUAGGGAAUUAUAUAGAGUCCCUUAGUUAAAUUCGUGAAAUGAUAAGUUAUCGCAUUAAUUGAUUAACGUAAAUAAAUGCUAAGAUCAUGGAUUUUUUAUUCAUGAAUUGAUUAAUUGACGGGAUUGCAUAAUGACUUUGGAUAUGGAUGUUAUUAUUACGAUUAUUUUAGUUGAUCAAUGUGGCUUGAGAAGAAUAUUGUGCUUCGUCAUUGGUUGACAUAUCGCAUGGUAUGCAUUGUGAUAUACUGUUAAGACUUAGCGAUUUAUGUGAUGGAUGUUUGAGUGUAGUAAAAUGACGAACUACGAAUGGCUUGAUCCCUAUUGAGGGUACGUAGGUAGUCUAAUGGGAGGUUAGACGCAGCCAUAAAGCAUACAAAAAAUUGUGUAGUAAUUUUUUUGUACUACGCAAUUCGAGGCAUGGGAUGUGCUAGGUACAUAUCCUGGAGGUGGGUAUGUUAGAUAUAUGGUUAUUUGAUGACGUCACAUGUCGAUCCUGGAUGUAUAUCGGGAUCGGGGCGUGACAAGGUAUAAAAUCCUAAUUCACUCCCUCAUUCCCAUGUUAAUUGAGUUUUAUUAUUUUAGGUUCAAUUUGUUAAGUUAUGUCAUGUAAGGAUUAAAAAGUUGUCAUCGUUCCGAACCUUUUAUUAAACUGUUGUGAUCAUUGUGUUGGAUACAUAUAUUGUUUAUGUUAUUUUCAGGGUUUUGGGAAAUGUUUUAAUUAUAGGGGAGGUUAUGCCGAAAUUUUAGUAGGAUUUGUUAUUAGUUUUGGGUUAAUGAUUUUUUUUCAUCUCUUUGUAGCAAAGAAAAACACCUGGGGCCCUUAUCGGCGAAGGUCACUCGGGUGACCAAUGGUCAUAUCCCAAUCGGAUAUGAUGAGCGACAUCAGGCAGCACCAACGAUGGAACAACAUAGUGCAUUGGUCCACAACAUUGGACAUGUCGUGCGGACCUUUUGCCCUAUGAGGUGGAAGUCUUGGAAGGCGAUGCCAGAGGAGACGAAGAACAUGGUGCGCAAUCAAUAUCGCCGCCUUUUUAAUGCUUUUCAUGUAAAAUUUAUAUAUUUAUAUUUAUGACUGUCUUUUAUUACUAAUAUUUUCAAAAUAUUUGUUACAUUGUAGACAAACUACAAUUUGGGGGACAUGUUCGCGUACCUCAAUCGGCUCUUCUCCGAACACUAC
Molecule: long non-coding RNA, 1794 nt
Filed under: Malus domestica (apple)
Lineage: Eukaryota; Viridiplantae; Streptophyta; Magnoliopsida; Rosales; Rosaceae
Description: long non-coding RNA (MDOM_LNC000493)
Source: RNAcentral